RNAcentral lists this long non-coding RNA (202 nucleotides) under Mytilus galloprovincialis (Mediterranean mussel). Lineage: Eukaryota; Metazoa; Mollusca; Bivalvia; Mytilida; Mytilidae. The record is from RNAcentral.
UGGGCUUUGUUCAUUGUUGAAGGCCGUCAGUGACCUAUAAUUGUUAAUGUUUGUGUCAUUUUGGUCUUUUGUGGAUAGUUGUCUCAUUGGCAAUGACACCACAUCUUCUUUUUAUACUACAGACCGGCGAGUUUUUUUUAGACCUGUACAAGGCCGACUCCGAUUGAAAAACAAUUAAAAUCCUUAUAUUGUCAUUAAACCG